Molecule: long non-coding RNA, 632 nt
Organism: Odocoileus virginianus texanus
Lineage: Eukaryota; Metazoa; Chordata; Mammalia; Artiodactyla; Cervidae
Source: RefSeq, a predicted model, not a curated record
CAGAGCCCACGCCUCCAAUGGCGAGGCCGGCGGCCCUGGAGAACAGGGGCGAGGCCUGUGUGUGCCCCCUCGUCCACCUUUAGCCUUGCCCUGGAACUGACCAGAAUCGAUGCCCCUCUUCCUCAGGGCCAGCCGAGUGCUCCGUCCUCUUCCCAUGCCUCGGGAGAGACCCGUCUCCUCUGACAGACUCAAGAUUCCAGGCCGAACUUUCCCAUGCCAUCGUCCCUCAAAAUAGCCGGAGCUGAGCUGUAUUUAUAGCCGUGGUCAAGACCCUGUUCUCUAUAAAACCCAGAUGAAGAACUGUAUCGCAGGAAACUCAGAGGCGGUCCCUGGAGAACCAACUGCGGCUACUGUUCUGAAGGCGAGGAUGGCUCCAGAUGGCUGCCCGGGAAACUCACUGGGCUCCGAGGCCUGGUGUUGGCUACGGUCACAAGGCAGCCAGGGGCACACCCGGCCCAUCCUGCUGAGGGGCUGUCUUGCCAAUGGGUUUGCGGGGCUGUGCAAGCCUGGAUGGCAGAGAGCUGGGGGGAAAGGCCCUCCCGUAAAUUCUCCUGGCCAUCCUUUCUAACACUUGGGGAAUGGUGUUGGGGUGGAAACCAUUUCAAAUAAUUAAAACAUUUGGUCCCUGUUUA